This 274-nucleotide ribosomal RNA is filed under the name uncultured prokaryote. RNAcentral's name for it is "partial 16S ribosomal RNA". It matches the Rfam family "Bacterial small subunit ribosomal RNA", at positions 524 to 798 of the family's 1533-position model. The record is from RNAcentral.
UACGUAUGGUGCAAGCGUUAUCCGGAAUUAUUGGGCGUAAAGAGUGCGUAGGUGGUUACCUAAGCGCAAGGUUUAAACUUGAGGCUCAACCUCAUUCUGCCUUGCGAACUGGGCUACUUGAGUGCAGGAGGGGAAAGCGGAAUUCCUAGUGUAGCGGUGAAAUGCGUAGAUAUUAGGAAGAACACCGGUGGCGAAGGCGGCUUUCUGGACUGUAACUGACACUGAGGCACGAAAGCGUGGGGAGCAAACAGGAUUAGAUACCCUGGUAGUCCCU